This 288-nucleotide long non-coding RNA is filed under the name Nicotiana benthamiana. RNAcentral's name for it is "long non-coding RNA (NBEN_LNC034880)". Lineage: Eukaryota; Viridiplantae; Streptophyta; Magnoliopsida; Solanales; Solanaceae. The record is from RNAcentral.
UGGAGGAGGGGUCCCGAUGCCCCGGUGAGGAGCUGCGAGCGGCUGGAUAUUGUUGGCGGUCGGCGAGGCAGAGGGAGGCCUAAGAAGCAUUGAGGAGAGGUGAUUAGGCAGGACAUGACUAGGAUGUAGGUUUCCGAGGACAUGACCCGUGAUAGGAGAGUAUGAAGAUCUAGAAUCAGGGUUGUAGGUUAGGGGCUCCUAGAGUUCUUCGUACGCCUCAACCGAGGUUGGGUGUGGGCCAGCAGGGAUACCCAUAGAUGAUUUGUGUUUUAGCUUAUGUCCCCCAAA